Molecule: long non-coding RNA, 584 nt
Organism: Pseudopipra pipra
Lineage: Eukaryota; Metazoa; Chordata; Aves; Passeriformes; Pipridae
Exons: 2
Source: RefSeq, a predicted model, not a curated record
UCAGCCCUGGCAAAAUGACGAUUCUCUGAUUGCUGCCUCCAGCCAUGAAAGUGCAGGAUCUGACUGUGUUUUAUUUUCAUCACCAUUACUACAACAGCAUUUAAAAGGUACACGAUGGCUCGCGGGAAUGCCAGUGUUCCAGAGUGUCCAUCUGGGAAUCAAACAACUCUCCUUCAGUUCCAAGCAGGUACUGUGACAUAUCCAGAGGACCUAUAACUGACAUGGCCCAUUAGUCAUAGAAACAUCCCACUAAAAUUAGAGUCAGCUUUUCAUCUUUAUGGGCCUCAUGCCUCGGUCCAUAUGUAGAACAUACAGAAUGGAUUUUUCUUUUCUUGGCAUGUAACCCCGUCUUUCCGGUAUUUUGGUUCCAGACCUUCGCGAGCAAUGCAGGUCACAGAAUCUUGUCAGAGGACUCCUGCAGUAAGCCAGCAGUUUCUGGAUGAACUACUUCACCUUUCCUAGAAAACCAUCCAUUUUAAAUCUGAAGUUCUCAAGAAUCCUUAAUUACCCAAUACUUAAGCUUGUAAAAGGCACUUAUUCAUGUGGUUCCAGAUUUCACUUAUUAAAUAACCUGCUACAGUAAA